ACGAACGCUGGCGGCAUGCCUAACACAUGCAAGUCGAACGAUGCUUUCGGGCAUAGUGGCGCCCGGGUGCGUAACGCGUGGGAAUCUGCCCUUGGGUUCGGAAUAACAGUGAGAAAUUGCUGCUAAUACCGGAUGAUGUCUUCGGACCAAAGAUUUAUCGCCCAGGGAUGAGCCCGCGUAGGAUUAGCUAGUUGGUGGGGUAAUGGCCUACCAAGGCGACGAUCCUUAGCUGGUCUGAGAGGAUGAUCAGCCACACUGGGACUGAGACACGGCCCAGACUCCUACGGGAGGCAGCAGUGGGGAAUAUUGGACAAUGGGCGCAAGCCUGAUCCAGCAAUGCCGCGUGAGUGAUGAAGGCCUUAGGGUUGUAAAGCUCUUUUACCCGGGAUGAUAAUGACAGUACCGGGAGAAUAAGCUCCGGCUAACUCCGUG
RNAcentral lists this ribosomal RNA (432 nucleotides) under uncultured bacterium. RNAcentral's name for it is "partial 16S ribosomal RNA". It matches the Rfam family "Bacterial small subunit ribosomal RNA", at positions 29 to 507 of the family's 1533-position model. The record is from RNAcentral.